AUUGAACGCUGGCGGCAGGCUUAACACAUGCAAGUCGAACGGAAACGCUAGAAGCUUGCUUCUAGGCGUCGAGUGGCGGACGGGUGAGUAAUGCUUGGGAAUCUGCCUUAUGGAGGGGGAUAACUACGGGAAACUGUAGCUAAUACCGCAUAAUAUCUUGGUUGAGAGAUUAAGAUUAAAGCGUGGGACCUUAGGGCCACGUACCAUAAGAUGAGCCCAAGUGGGAUUAGGUAGUUGGUGAGGUAAAGGCUCACCAAGCCGACGAUCUCUAGCUGGUUUGAGAGGAUGACCAGCCACACUGGAACUGAGACACGGUCCAGACUCCUACGGGAGGCAGCAGUGGGGAAUAUUGCACAAUGGGGGAAACCCUGAUGCAGCCAUGCCGCGUGAAUGAAGAAGGCUUUCGGGUUGUAAAGUUCUUUCAGUAGUGAGGAAGGGUGUAGUAUUAAUAGUGCUAUACAUUGACGUUAGCUACAGAAGAAGCACCGGCUAACUCC
This 497-nucleotide ribosomal RNA is filed under the name uncultured bacterium. RNAcentral's name for it is "bacterial SSU rRNA". It matches the Rfam family "Bacterial small subunit ribosomal RNA", at positions 30 to 504 of the family's 1533-position model. The record is from RNAcentral.